UGCGUAGGGUGCGAGCGUUAAUCGGAAUUACUGGGCGUAAAGCGUGCGCAGGCGGUUCGUUGUGUCGGUGGUGAAAUCCCCGGGCUUAACCUGGGAAUGGCCAUGGAAACUGGCGAACUGGAGUGUGGCAGAGGGGGGUGGAAUUCCGCGUGUAGCAGUGAAAUGCGUAGAGAUGCGGAGGAACACCGAUGGCGAAGGCAGCCCCCUGGGCUAGCACUGACGCUCAGGCACGAAAGCGUGGGGAGCAAACAGG
Molecule: ribosomal RNA, 253 nt
Filed under: uncultured bacterium
Lineage: Bacteria
Description: partial 16S ribosomal RNA
Rfam family: Bacterial small subunit ribosomal RNA
Source: RNAcentral